UGCCAGCAGCCGCGGUAAUACGGAGGGGGCGAGCGUUGUUCGGAAUUAUUGGGCGUAAAGAGUAUGUAGGUGGUCAAGCAAGUCAGGCGUGUAAGCCCUCGGCUCAACCGAGGAAUUGCGUUUGAAACUAUUUGACUUGAGUACGGAAGAGGAAAGCGGAAUUCCCAGUGUAGCGGUGAAAUGCAUUGAUAUUGGGAAGAACAUCGGUGGCGAAGGCGGCUUUCUGGUCCGAUACUGACACUGAGAUACGAAAGCCAGGGGAGCAAACGGGAUUAGAUA
RNAcentral lists this ribosomal RNA (279 nucleotides) under uncultured bacterium. Its description in RNAcentral is "partial 16S ribosomal RNA". It matches the Rfam family "Bacterial small subunit ribosomal RNA", at positions 506 to 784 of the family's 1533-position model. The record is from RNAcentral.